Molecule: ribosomal RNA, 406 nt
Filed under: uncultured bacterium
Lineage: Bacteria
Description: partial 16S ribosomal RNA
Rfam family: Bacterial small subunit ribosomal RNA
Source: RNAcentral
AUUGAACGCUGGCGGCAGGCCUAACACAUGCAAGUCGAGCGCGCGGCUGACGGGUGAGUACUGUCUGGUAAACUGCCUGAUGGUGAGGUAUCACUACUUGAGACGUUCGCUAAUACCGCAUACCAUCAAAUGUGCCCAGAGUGGAUUAGCUAGUAGGUGGGGUAACGGCUCACCUAGGCGACGAUCCCUAGCUGGGCUGAGAGGAUGACCAGCCACAUUGGAACUGAGACACGGCCCAGACUCCUACGGGAGGCAGCAGUGGGGAAUAUUGCACAAUGGGCGCAAGCCUGAUGCAGCCAUGCCGCGUGUAUGAAGAAGGCCUUCGGGUUGUAAAGUUCUUUCAGCGGGGAGGCGGUACCCGAAGAAGAAGUAACGGCUAACUACGUACCAGCAGCCGCGGUAAUAC